This 2156-nucleotide ribosomal RNA is filed under the name uncultured ciliate. RNAcentral describes it as "eukaryotic LSU rRNA". The stretch from base 1 to 1692 matches the Rfam family "Eukaryotic small subunit ribosomal RNA". The record is from RNAcentral. Lineage: Eukaryota; Ciliophora.
AAAGAUUAAUCCAUGCAUGUGUAAGUAUAAGUAUUGUACAGCGAAACUGCGAAUGGCUCAUUACAUCAGUUAUUAUUUAUUUGAUAAUCGAAAGUUACAUGGAUAACCGUGACAAAUUACAGCUAAUACAUGCAGUCAGACCUGGUCCAAGGUCGUAAUUAUUAGUAUUAAACCAUUUCCGCAAGGAAUGUGAUGAAUCAUAAUAAUCGAACGAAUCGCCUGGUGUGCGAUAAAUCAUUCAAGUUUCUGCCCUAUCAGCUUUGGAUGGUAGUGUAUUGGACUACCAUGGCAGUCACGGGUAACGGAGAAUUAGGGUUCGAUUCCGGAGAGGGAGCCUGAGAAACGGCUACCACAUCUACGGAAGGCAGCAGGAGCGAAAAUUGCCCAAUCCUGACACAGGGAGGCAGUGACAAGAAAUAUCAACUCUUGGAUUUCUAAGAAGUGAAAUGAGGAUAAUUUACAACCCUUACCGAAAGCAAUUGGAGGGCAAGUCUGGUGCCAGCAGCCGCGGUAAUUCCAGCUCCAAUAGCGUAUAUUAAAGUUGUUGCAGUUAAAAAGCUCGUAGUUGAAGUUCUGGCUGUUCGAUCCUCGAGCUCUGUAGCCGAGGACUCGACAGUCAUCCGCUUGCAAAUAUAUGUUCGCCUUUAACCGGGUGGCUAUAUGAGCAAGCAAUUUACCUUGAGAAAAACAGAGUGUUCCAGGCAGGUUUGUCCGGAAUGCAUUAGCAUGGAAUAAUAGAAUAUGACUGAAGUCAAUUUAUUGGUUUAGGGCUUUAGUAAUGAUUAAUAGGAACAGUCGGGGGCAUUGGUACUUGACAGUCAGAGGUGAAAUUCUAGGAUUUGUCAAAGACUAACAAAUGCGAAAGCAUUUGCCAAGGAUGUUUUCAUUAAUCAAGAACGAAAGUUAGGGGAUCAAAGACGAUCAGAUACCGUCCUAGUCUUAACUAUAAACUAUACCGACUCGGAUUCGGAUGAAUCAAAAAGUUCAUUCGGGACCGUAGGAGAAAUCAAAGUUUUUGGGUUCUGGGGGAAGUAUGGUCGCAAGGCUGAAACUUAAAGGAAUUGACGGUUUUGCACCACCAUGGAGUGGAGUCUGCGGCUUAAUUUGACUCAACACUGGGAAACUCAUCAGGGCAAGAAGAUUUUAGGAUUGACAGAUUGAGAGUUCUUUCUUGAUUGGUCUAGUGGUGGUGCAUGGCCGUUCUUAGUUGGUGGAGUGAUUUGUCUGGUUAAUUCCGUUAACGAACGAGACCUUAACCUGCUAACUAGUACUUCGAUGCACAAUCGUUGUUACUUCUUAGAGGGGCUAUGUGAUGUAAUCACAUGGAAGUUUGAGGCAAUAACAGGUCUGUGAUGCCCUUAGAUGUCCUGAGCUGCACGCGUACUACAAUGGUGCUUUCAACGAGCUUUUCCUGAUCCGAAAGGAUUUGGGUAAUCUUUUUAGUGAGCACCGUGCUUGGGAUAGAUCUUUGUAAUUAUGGAUCUUGAACUAGGAAUUCCUAGUAAGCGCUGGUCAUCAGCCAGUGCUGAUUACGUCCCUGCAAAAUGUACACACCGCCCGUCGCUAUUACCGAUUGAGUGCUAAGGUGAACCUUCUCGAUAGUGCAAACUAAAAAUUAAGUAAACCUUAGUACUUAGAGGAAAUAAAAGUCGUAACAAGGUUUCCGUAGGUGAACCUGCGGAAGGAUCAUUCAUAAUUUAAUUAUAAUGUAUUUCUUGAAUACAACGUUCAUUUGUUAGGGCUUCGGCUUUAACAAAGUAUACCUAUUUCAUAGGUUUUAAUACGUUACUAAAUAUCCUUAAAAAUUAUUAAAUUUUCAACGAUGGAUAUCUAGGUUCCUAUAACGAUGAAGAACGCAGCGAAGUGCGAUAAGCAAUGCGAAUUGCAGAACCGCGAGUCAUCAGAUUUUUGAACGCAAGUGGCGGCAGCUUCGGCUGUCAUGGUUGUUUCAGUGUGUCCGGUUAAUUACAUCAAAGAAUAUAAUGUGAUUGAAGAGAUUCUCUCACAAAAUAUGGGGAAGUGUCAAUGAAGACUCCAAACGAACUAGUCACUAAAUGGUGAUAAUCGUUUGAGGAUUGGAAUUGGUGAAUCAUUUCUCGAUAAGAAAUUAUCCAAUUAUGGCACCUGAAAUAAGCAAGAGUACCCGCUGAACUUAA